AUGCAAGUAGAACGCUGAAGGAGGAGCUUGCUCUCUCUGGAUGAGUUGCGAACGGGUGAGUAACGCGUAGGUAACCUGCCUGGUAGCGGGGGAUAACUAUUGGAAACGAUAGCUAAUACCGCAUAACAGUAGAUGUUGCAUGACAUUUGCUUAAAAGGUGCAAUUGCAUCACUACCAGAUGGACCUGCGUUGUAUUAGCUAGUUGGUGGUGUAACGGCUCACCAAGGCGACGAUACAUAGCCGACCUGAGAGGGUGAUCGGCCACACUGGGACUGAGACACGGCCCAAACUCCUACGGGAGGCAGCAGUAGGGAAUCUUCGGCAAUGGACGGAAGUCUGACCGAGCAACGCCGCGUGAGUGAAGAAGGUUUUCGGAUCGUAAAGCUCUGUUGUAAGAGAAGAACGAGUGUGAGAGUGGAAAGUUCACACUGUGACGGUAUCUUACCAGAAAGGGACGGCUAACUACGUGCCAGCAGCCGCGGUAAUACGUAGGUCCCGAGCGUUGUCCGGAUUUAUUGGGCGUAAAGCGAGCGCAGGCGGUUAGAUAAGUCUGAAGUUAAAGGCUGUGGCUUAACCAUAGUACGCUUUGGAAACUGUUUAACUUGAGUGCAAGAGGGGAGAGUGGAAUUCCAUGUGUAGCGGUGAAAUGCGUAGAUAUAUGGAGGAACACCGGUGGCGAAAGCGGCUCUCUGGCUUGUAACUGACGCUGAGGCUCGAAAGCGUGGGGAGCAAACAGGAUUAGAUACCCUGGUAGUCCACGCCGUAAACGAUGAGUGCUAGGUGUUAGACCCUUUCCGGGGUUUAGUGCCGUAGCUAACGCAUUAAGCACUCCGCCUGGGGAGUACGACCGCAAGGUUGAAACUCAAAGGAAUUGACGGGGGCCCGCACAAGCGG
Molecule: ribosomal RNA, 894 nt
Filed under: uncultured bacterium
Lineage: Bacteria
Description: bacterial SSU rRNA
Rfam family: Bacterial small subunit ribosomal RNA
Source: RNAcentral